RNAcentral lists this ribosomal RNA (253 nucleotides) under uncultured bacterium. RNAcentral describes it as "partial 16S ribosomal RNA". It matches the Rfam family "Bacterial small subunit ribosomal RNA", at positions 524 to 776 of the family's 1533-position model. The record is from RNAcentral.
UACGUAGGGACCAAGCGUUGUUCGGAUUUACUGGGCGUAAAGGGCGCGUAGGCGGCGUGUUAAGUCGCUUGUGAAAUCUCUAAGCUUAACUUAGAACGGUCAAGUGAUACUGAUGUGCUAGAGUGCAGAAGGGGCAACCGGAAUUCUUGGUGUAGCGGUGAAAUGCGUAGAUAUCAAGAGGAACACCUGAGGUGAAGACGGGUUGCUGGGCUGACACUGACGCUGAGGCGCGAAAGCUAGGGUAGCAAACGGG